RNAcentral lists this long non-coding RNA (378 nucleotides) under Eucalyptus grandis. Its description in RNAcentral is "long non-coding RNA (EGRA_LNC007603)". Lineage: Eukaryota; Viridiplantae; Streptophyta; Magnoliopsida; Myrtales; Myrtaceae. The record is from RNAcentral.
CAAUUCUUGUUCCGCACAGAGCCGUCCAAGUCGGUGACACAAUGAAGCGAUACGAGAGGAAUCAUCAUUCUCUUCCGUAGCCAUGAAGGAAAUGGUAAGCAAGAGGAAGAUUAGCGAAGAGGGACUCAGACCAGAACAACAAGUUUCAAGGGUUGCAUGUGAAGGAUCGGCGACAUGCAGAACGAAAAAACGGAGAAUUUGAGUGGAGACGGUUGAAAAGGAAGCAUCCGAAAGCUAAGAUGAUAGAAAGUGAAGCAGAGAGAAGAUGAAGAUGGUCGAAGAGAAGGCAAAGUUGUUUUGUGGGGAAUCUGGAAAAAGAGGAAGUAGGAGAAACUCGAACAUAGCGCGAGAGAGAAACUCGAACAUAGCGCGAGAGAG